RNAcentral lists this ribosomal RNA (216 nucleotides) under Sabethes undosus. RNAcentral's name for it is "partial 16S ribosomal RNA". The record is from RNAcentral. Lineage: Eukaryota; Metazoa; Arthropoda; Insecta; Diptera; Culicidae.
GAUCUUUAUUUUUAUUUUUUAUAAAUUAAAAAGAAAUUAAAAAUUUAUAUUAAAAUUAAAAAUUUUAUUGGGGUGAUAUUAAAAUUUAAAUAACUUUUAUUAUUAAUUACAUAAAUAUAUGAAUUAUUGAUCCAAUUUUAUUGAUUAAAAAAUUAAGUUACCUUAGGGAUAACAGCGUAAUUUUUUUUUAGAGUUCAUAUCGACAAAAAAGAUUGC